RNAcentral lists this ribosomal RNA (243 nucleotides) under uncultured bacterium. RNAcentral's name for it is "partial 16S ribosomal RNA". It matches the Rfam family "Bacterial small subunit ribosomal RNA", at positions 93 to 334 of the family's 1533-position model. The record is from RNAcentral.
AAGUGACGAACGGGUGAGUAAUACAUAAGCAACCUACCCACGAAGACUGGGAUAAUCUCUGGAAACGGGGACUAAUACCGGAUAGGUAAUCGGAAGGCAUCUUCUGAUUAUUAAAGGUUAAAAACACUGGUGGAUGGGCUUAUGGCGCAUUAGUUAGUUGGUGAGGUAACGGCCCACCAAGACGAUGAUGCGUAGCCGGCCUGAGAGGGUGAACGGCCACAUUGGGACUGAGACACGGCCCAG